AGUGAGGUAAGUUGCCCAGUGAGCCUCAGCUGGUGAAUGGGUGAGUGGGACUCUGACCAGGUGGUCUUUCUCCGGGCUCCGUCCACAUACCCAUCAAGUCACACGGCUUCCUGGGAUCUUGCAAGGCCUAUGGUAAAACCUGACUCAGAGACGUGGAGCCUGCCCCUUGGGCUUUAGUAGAAUGUGCUGUCACUCAGUGGUCUUCAACCGCAGGGCUCUGCAGAAUCCCUGCGGGUCAUGGGAAGGAGAGGUGAAGGGAGCGUGGACCUCACACCCUUGUCAGGCAGAGCGAGUCAGAGUCCUGUGCGUUAUCUGCGGGCACUCACUAGGGUGUCAUCUGAAUAAGGAAGAACAGCCAAGUCAGUUGCUCACACAGCGGCCCCAGCAGCUGCAAAGAGAAAUGGGGUGCAGAAAGCCGACCCGCAGAGGUCACGGUGUGAGGCCAACAUGCAUUCUGGCGAUUCCUUUGCAGGGUGAACGAGAGGUUGAGUGUGGGUGAGGCCGUGGGGUGGUGAGGCCAGAUCAGGAGCCGCUGAAGCAGAAGGAGGAGAACACUGCCCAAUCCUAGGGGCCAGGGGGAGGUUAGAGGCGGGGCGACGGCAAGUCAGGCGGGUGAUGAAAGAUGCGGUGGGUGGGCCGAGUCGGGAGCUUGCCUGUGCAGUUGUUGCUGAAUACAGGGCAGAGGGAAGGUGAAGGGCCUCUAAGGGAGGUGAGAGAGCCAGCUGGGAGCUUUCUGUGCAAGAUGGUGGACCACAGAGGACCCAGGAGGAGAGACUCUGAGGUUUAGUGAACAGGUGCAGAAGAACGGGAAGCUAGAUUUAAUUUUUUUUCUUUUUGGUACUAGGAAUGGAACCCAGAGGCUCACACAUGCUAGAAAAGUACAGUACACUGAGCUACAUCCCUGGCUGGACGGACUUUCCUUCCUUCCUUCCUUCCUUCCUUCCUUCCUUCCUUCCUUCUCUCUCUAAGUAGCCCAGGCUGACCUUGAACUUGCCAUCCUCCUGCCUCAGCCUCCUGAGUUGCUGCUGUGCACCACCACACUCAACUUGGUAUUUCAUUUUACAAAUAAAGAUUAUGCAUUUGGUAGAGCAGAGGACACCAAAGGAUCACCCUGACUGUAUCAAGCACCUCACCAUGCUCUUGAUGAAGUGGAUUCGAAACCGGUCGGGUGAACUUUAUCCAGAGGUGCAGCCUCAUGUGUCACUGUUAGCCCAAAGGCAGGUGUGGCCCUCCCUCAGUGACCUUUGUUUUAUGAAGCACAUAUCUUGACAAGUCUCUGAUAGUCUAUGUUAUCAAAAACGCUACUCCCUCAUCUUCCCUCUCUGUGUGUCCAUUUCUUCAUGGUGUCAUUGGUUGCUAAUGUGGGGUUCCUGGAUGAGCCUAUGGAGUCCAUUGGCUCCUCUGGAUAAUUAUCUACUUACAUUUCUGUCUCCCUCGCUAGACUACGAGCAACCUCAGGGGUGAAGCAAGCUGGAACUGGAAAAAGAAACCUGUAGGUAUCAAUUCAUGGUUGAGCUGUGGUCCACUCUUUCCAUCAACACCUGCUAUCUCAACAGGCACACAGGCAAGAGGGACGCAGUCAUUAGAAAAUGGCAAGACAGUCCUACUCAUUAUUGGACUGUGCUGUGAUGGAGGAAGCACACAGGGGGACACCCCUGGACAACGGGGUUUAUGUUCCUGGAGGGGCAAUGUCAGAUGCUCUGGCAGGAUACAGGGAGUCGGGUUCAGAAGAGGCAAGAGAAGGGCGAGUCAGACACAGAUGAGAAACUGCACGGCAGACAUGCCAAACGCAUGUUACCUGGGAUACUGACGCCAAAGGGGACCCGGAAGGGCUGAGGUAGAUAGGGCUGGGUGGUGACCGGCCUUUUAAACCAAACCAUGAAUUCGGAUUUUAUCCCCAGGGCCACUGGAGCCAUUGGAAGAUGGAGAGUAGGGAGUGGCCUGACUGAAUUCGUACUUGGAAGGAUUACGAGAAGGGGGAAGGUCACGGAUCAGGAAAGUUCUAGAAGGCUUCUGCAAUAAUCAGGGUUAAAACCAUGUUGUCCUUAACUGCCCAGGCUGCACCACAGUCACUGUUACUCUAAUUACUCUGCCUACUGCUACUGUCACCACUACCACCACCACGGGGACAGAGAGGGGGCAGAGGGACUGUCAAGGCCAUCAGCAAGAAUGAGGCCACGGAGCAUGCGGAAGGAAGAGAGAAGUGGCCAGAGGACAAGGAGGUGUGAGAAGCUGAAGAUGAGAAAGGGCAAAUGAGAGGUCGGAAAACCAGGAGACGGGGAUCUCCUAGAAACCAGGGCAGGGCGGGGAGAACUGUCAUGGUGGGGGCCUGGAGUGUCCCCCAAAGGCUCAUGUACUUGAAGGCUUGGUCCCCAGUGCAGCAGUGUCCAGAGGGGGCUUUUAAGGAAUGAUUAGAUCGUGAGGGCUCAAACCUCGUGAGUGGAUCGAUCCAUGUAUUUGAUGGGUUCAUAGUUUGAAUGGAUGGGGCCUCGUUGGAGGAGCAGGUCACUGGAGGUGUGCCUGGAAAGGUCUGUCUCAGCUCCAACAGCCCCCUUCUCUCUCGCCCUCUGCUUCCCUCUGUGGUUAGAGGGUAGAUGGGCGGAGGCCUGGUCCUGAGACCCACUUCCACCUGUGAGAGUCUGAGAAACACUUUGACUCUUGUCCAGUGGCUGUGUCAGCGAUGGUUCGUCCUGUUCAAGACGACACCCAAGAGCUUUCGCCACAGAGACAAGUGGCCUGUUUAAAUCUGUCCUCAAAUAAUAAAACACGAGCAAAGAUACAACUUGCAAAAAUAUGGCUCCCUGAUCAAACAUGGGCUGAGUCACAGCGGAUGGCUCCAGACACCCAUCCUCUCAGGCUGGUGGCGCUGGGGAAGCGAAGUCGGCCUCUGUGUCUCCUCCUGUGUGUGUUUGCAGUUGCUUCCUCCUCGGCUCCUCUGCCAGAGCCCAGCGGGCCCGGAGGUGCGGUUUGGUGGCAUGUGGGAUGACCACACUCAUCUCACGUCCGUGGGGGAGUUCAGAACAGCUUGCCCGGCCCCAGCGGUACUUGCCAGGUCGUGACGGGGAGGCAGAGCCCCGACGCCGCGGCCUCUUCCUGACUUGAAGUCGAGGCACUGGGGAGUCAGGUCUUGGUGUCAGAAACUCUCAGUGGACUCCAGCAGCUUCAACAGCGGCCAGCAGCAGAGAACACUGGGUGACCGCCUUCUGAAAACACUGCGGCAGAACAAUUUUCAAUCAUGAAUAAGAAGAGGAGGGGGAAAUGGCUUCUGCUGGCAUUUAGUCUUUGUCAGACACAUAAGAAUCUGUACCUUUUCGCCCCCCUCCCCAUCUUCUGGCAGCUAUUUAAAAUAUUUUACAGGGGGAAGUUCCUAGAAGGAGCUGUUUCUAAACGGUAUCCGUAAAAUGCUGAUGUCUCUUACUGUAAAGUUCAGGGGCUCCCCUGACACUCACAGAGACCUGCGUAUAAUCUCCUCACUUCUGGUCAUCGGUGCCAAGGAAGCCGUCCCAGCAUCAGAAGCUUUCUCCAGGUUCUCCGGAGGGUCGUUGGCGGUGGAGAGUGAGCACACUGGAGCCUCCAGGUCAUUCUCGUCUGCAUUUCUUAUCUUCAGUUAAUCUGGGGACUGACCAACAAUCAAGUUGGGACUAAAGAUGGGACUGCUCGAGCAACCAGCCUAGAUGAGCCACCUGCCAGCCCUGCAAGUGAGCCACCCUCCCUCCGCACAGGUCCUCAGGCCCAGAGGUGUCCCUUGGAGCCCUGCCCAGGUCAAAGAUUUCUGAGUAAGAUAAACAACUGUGUUUUAAAAAAUAUUAGUUGACAAAUGACAACUAUGAUGCUCAUUAUAAUGUGAUAUUCCGACAUGUGCAUAGCUUAUGCAGUGAUGAAAUCAAGCAGAUCAACAUAGCCAUCAUUCUUAACGAUUUUUUUGUGGGUCACUAUUUAAAAAUCUCCUUUUGCAAUUUUCAAGUAUGCAAUGUGUUGUUACCAGCUGUUGUCACUAUCUGCACAGCAGGUCUCAGGAUGUGUUCCUCCUGAUUGAAAUCGUACCCUUUGACCAAUAUCACCCCACCUGGCCUCUGUUAAUUGCCGGUCUACUCUCUAAUGCUAGGAGUUCAACUUUUUUUUUUUGGAUUCCACGAGUAAAUGAAAUGCAGGAUCAGUUUUUCCAUGCCUGAUUUAUUUCACUUAGCCUAAUGUGCCUUCCACGUUCAUCCAGAUUAUUUCAAAUGACAGAAUGUCAUUGAGGCUGAAUCCUAUUCCAUCACGGAUAGGAUCAUAUCCUCUACGUCCACUCCUCUGCUGAUGGAUGCUCAGGUUGGUGGCUUGUCUUGGCUCUCGUGAAGGACGGUGCCAUGAACGUGGAAGUGCACAUACAGCUUCGACAGACAGAUUUUAAUUUCUCUGGAUCAUGCCCAGAACUGGGAUUGCUGAGGAGCAUGCUAGUUCUAUGCUUAGCUUUAUGAGGAACCUCCACACUGUUUAUGAUUGUUGUUUUUUAACAUCGUGAAGUGUUGGGGUUUGCUACGCAGCAAUCAGAGCACUUGACGGCCAGAGUACCAAGCUCCUGGCUUUCUUCAGGCUUCAUGGUCACUUUUUGGUGAUGUCCUUUGAUGAUGAAUUUUCAUUAUGCAAAAAAAUCAGCAUACACAGACUCCAUGUGUCCAAUACCCCGCUCGAGUCUUGGUCUUCUCAGAGCCAAUUUUAUUUCCUCUAAGUCCCUACUUGUUUCCCUCCAUCCAUCCAUGUUAUGAUUAUUAUUUUGCAGUAUUGGGAUCAAACCCAAGGCCUUAUGCAUGCUGGACAAGCUCUUACCACUGAGCUACAUCUCCAGUCCCAAGCCAACCAUUUUUUUUUUUUUUGGUGCUGGGUAAUGAGCCCAGGGCCUCACACAUGCUGGGCAAGUUCUCUACCACUGAGCUACAUCUCCAGUCCCAACCAAACCUUAUUCUUUUUAAGCAAAUUCCUCAGCCCUUUCUUUUCUUUAUUAUUGUCCCUUGGUGAUCUCAACUGGACUCAAAACUACAUGCUGCUCACAUGCUGAAGACUCCUAAAGUUAUCGCAUGUAAUAGCAUGGUGGCCCAAAGCAUGACUUCUGGUGUCUUCAUGACCAGACUCAAAUUGUGACUUCCACAGACUACCUUUGUGGCCUCAGGCAAGUUACUUAACCUCUGUGUGCCUCAGUUUCCCACUCUGGGAAAUAAAAGACAAUACUUCCUACUAGCUUGUGGUGUCAUUCUGAGGAUUAAGUGAGUUACACUUGUAGAAUGCCUGGAAUGGAGACUGCACUUGUGCAGCCUCCGGGUGAUGAUCGUCUCUCCAGCCCGAACCCCAGGCUCAUCCGACCACCUGCUCACUUGCCAUUCUCACUUAGAGGUCAGAGAGACACCUCAGCUCAUUAUUCUAAAACCAAGCUCCUGGUCUACCCAGGCCCUCCCUCAGUCUCCGAUCUCAGUUAAGGGCAUCUCCGUCUUUCCAUUUCUUAGCUCAAAGUGCCACGAUGUGAUGUCACCCUUGACUUCUCUCUUGCUCAGGUAUCUCACAUCAAAUCCUAUUGGCUCUUUCAAGAUGUAGCUAGAGACACCGCCAUUAUGACUUCAGAGAAACCCCCAUCAGCCUCGCCUGUGAUGUGAUGAGAACCUCCUGACUGGUCUGCCUUCUUCCACCUCCCUCCAGCCUCUCCCUCAGUCCACUCCCAAAACAGCAGAGGGUGCCUUUACAGACUUAAGUCCAAUCAUGUCACCACUCUGACACUCCAUGUCACUCUCCACUGGCUUCUCAUGUGAUUCAAAGUGAACAUCCAAAGUCCCUACAACCCUCUCGGAUUCCAUCCUGACCCGUUCUCCCUCCUUUUUGCCAGCCUUGCGGACCUUUCUGCUCCUGGAACAUGCCAAGAGUCUCCCACCGUACAUCUUUACAAUCCAGCCAUCCCUCUUCUUGGGAUUCUCUUGUCCAGAUCUUCAUGGCUGCUCACUUGAUGAGCAUUCUGCUGGAUGGAGAGGCUGGAGUCCCUCUGUUUGCUUUUCUCCUUGGUGUUAAUCACCUAACACGAUUCCUAACACACCCAUUUAUUUUGUGUAUCACUCAUCUUUGGUCUCCAUCUAUAAAGUGUACACACCAUGAGGCAUUUUGUCUGUUUUGUUCACUGCUAAAUCCCUAGGACAGCACCUGAUACAAAGUAGAUGGGUAGACAGAUAAAUCUGUUUUUGGAAAGAUCCCUGAGGAAGCAAUAUGGAGGAUAAUCAGAGAAUGAAACUCUUUUGACCCAGCUUGAUCUAUACCCAAAGGACUUAAAAACAACAUACUACAGGGACACAGCCACAUCAACGUUUAUAGCAGCUCAAUUCACAACAGCUAAACUGUGGAGCCAACCUAGAUGCCCUUCAAUGGAUGAAUGAUUUAAAAAAUGUGGUAUAUAUACACAAUGGAUUAUUACUCAGCAAUAAAAGAGAAUAAAAUCAUGGCAUUUGCAGGUAAAUGGAUGGAGUUGGAGAAGAUAAUGCUAAGUGAAGUUAGCCAAUACCAAAAAACCAAAUGCUUAAUGUUUUCUCUGAUAUAAAGAGUCUGACUCAUAGUGGAGUAGGGAUGGGGAGCAUGGGAGGAAUAGAGGAACUUCAGGUAGGGCAGAGGGGUGGAAGGGGAAGGGAGAGGGCAGGGGGUUAGCAAGGAUGGUGGAAUGUGAUGGACAUCAUUAUCCAAAGUACAUGUAUGAAGACAGGAAUUGGUGUCAACAUGCUUUAUAUACAGAGAUAUGAAAAAUUGUGCUUUAUAUGUGUAAUAAGUGUUGUAAUGCAUUCCAAUGUCAUGUAUUUAAAAAAUAGAAUCAAUUAAAAAAAAGGAAAAGAAAAUAUCUGUGUAAGAACACUUGCAAAAAACAUGAUGAGCUCUUGAGCUGGAGAGAGGCAUGAAGGCAGAGGAGUGGCUGUUCCUCGGCAGAACCACAGAGUUGAUGGCCGUCUGAGUACAGAGGCCGGGAAGGGGACAGGGGUCAGUGAGGACAUGCAGGUCUCUGGCUGGAGUGAAUGCAGGGGUGCCACAUGGAAUAAGUUUUAAGAAAAGUAUAAGUUAGAUGUGUCCAAUGUGAAGGCGUCAUUUUGGAAAGACAUAUAAGAAAACAUAGGCCUGGGGUUAGAAAUGAGCCUUUGUAAUUAUGCACUUAAUCGCAUGGUUGUGAUUUGUUUGGUUUUUAUUUUAUUUCUUUUUGGUGCUGGGAUUGAGCCCAGGGGCGCUUCACCAAUGAGCCACAUCCCAGACCUUUUUAUUUGUUAUUCUGAGUCAGGGUUUCACUAAGUUGCUGAGGCUGGCCUCCAUCUUCUGCUUCAGCCUUCUGCGUUGCCUGGAUCCAGGUACGUGUUCCUGUGCCUGGCUUAAUUGCAUAUUUUUAAAAAUUAUAUUUCAAUUAUUAUAUGAAUAGUCUUAUCCAUUUAGGUUGAGCUCUCAUUUUUUUGUUUUUGUUUCCUCUACUCACAAUGGUGAGAUAAUAGCAGGACCUUGACAGAUAGUUGUGAUUGACAGAUGGGCUGAAGCAUAUUAAAAAACAAAACAACUUCGCCACCUAUUCCCUUUCCAAUCUCUGCUAUAAUUAGGGCUAUGAUGCAUGGCUACAUGGUCCCCCAAUACAUUUUCCCCUUCUUUCAGAGCAAUGGAAUUAUAGCUGGGUAUAUGAUGACUCAGCUAGAAACUGUCACUUUCCAGGUACCUUGCAGUUGAUGAGGGCAUGUCCCUGAGGUCAGGCCAAGGGAUGAUAGUGGCAGCCACGGGUGCCAUUUCUAGAGCUUGGCCUUAAAACGACAGGACUGUGUCCCAUUCCCUGUGGUCUCUGACCCUAAGUGAAACAAGGCUCUUUUGUGACCCAGCUUUGACCAGGCAGCUUAAGUAGAAAGACCGAGGGAUGGUAAGAGAAGAGGAUGGAAGGAACCUGGCUGGGCCUUAGGUGGCCUGGGCGAGCAGGGUGACAUGCUGACUGUCAUCUGGGAGAGGAUUGUCCGUCUUCUUUAAACAUCUGCAUUUUGGAGAUGCCUUAUUACGAAGCUGAGCCUUCAUUCUGACGGAUGGUUUGGGUGACUUAAUUGAUGUCCUUGUUUCUUAGUGACCCCAGUCAAUCAAGGAUCAAGAAUUUUUAAAAUAUUAAUGGAAUAUUUUUCAAAAGUCUGCCCUUGGUGUUGGUGAAUACUUGUUUUCUAAAUGUGAAAGGAAUCAUAGAAUUAUUAAAGGGAACAGACUCAGACAUGUAGGCAUUUAAGACAGUUUAGUACUUUCGUGAUAGGUCAGCGAUUUAGCACAAUAGACUGAUAGUUUUCUUUUUGUGGUGCUGAGGGUCACACCCAGGGUCUCAUGCAUAAUAGGCAAGUGCUCUAACCAUUGGGCUACACUCCCAGCCUUAAAUUGAUCUUCUAAAAUUUCUCCCAUAAUAUUCAGUUCUUUUUUUUAUUAAAUGGUUUUGAUUCAAUCUUUUUAGCACACUAUUUUUUAGCCUAUUCCAGGUGAUUUUACUAUCUUAACUAUUUGGAGGUGCCAAUCUUCCCAGUUUUUGUGUCCUUAUUUCUCUUUCUCUCAAGGUAGGUCAUUUUUCUGCAUGUGCUUUGUGAGCUCAUUUGGCAGAAGAACUGAGACUUCAAUAAAACUAGAACAACAACAACAAGAAAAUUAAAGGAAAAAAUAAUGGCUGAGGUCUUUUUGUUUCUCAUUUUGUUCUCUGAUUUAUUCCCAGCAUCUCAAACAGGACACGGCACACAGCAACCCCUCAGAACACAGGCAAGAGUGAGUGAGUGAGUGAACGCAGGGUGUCUGGGCUCAGCCUGUCCUGGGCAAUCCAGCUCUGGAGCCAAAUGUGUGUCCUCACCCACACCAACAAGAGGCCUCCCAAGCUCACAUCCGUGGAUCACCUCCGGGCCUGUCAACCGUGACUUCGUCAUACGCCUUGAUCGUCCCUCUCUCUCACACCAAGCAGCUCAUGAAAACAUCCCUUUCACCACACAGACUCCUUGAAGAGAGGCCUGGUAAAUAUGAUUUUCUGUGCUC
This 9015-nucleotide long non-coding RNA is filed under the name Marmota monax (woodchuck). The record is from RNAcentral. Lineage: Eukaryota; Metazoa; Chordata; Mammalia; Rodentia; Sciuridae.